CCGGUGCCACCUCCGCUCGCGAGCCCGCGGCAGGCCCUGGGCGGUGCGCGCAGUCCCGCGAGAGCAGUGCUUGGUCGGGACCUCGAAGCCGGAGCCCGAGCGGGAGAGGCCGCGGAGACCCCGGCCCGGCGCAGGCAGAGACGCACCUGCGGGAGGCGGGCGCGCCGGCUGGAGAGGAGGCCGUGGGGCGGAGCGGCUCAGCGUUCUGCUCGGCUGCAGCGGCCCCUGCCGGAGACCCGGGCGCCGUGGUCUUCUUUAUAAUUGAAGGAUUGUCUCUCUGUUUUUAUUUGGGGUGGGGGUGGGGGUGGGGGGCGGCGCAGUGACUUGCUUCGACUUUGUCAGCUUCCAGGGUUCAUUCCACUGCCCAAAUAUGUAGUGAGUUACUACCGGCUUUGCUUCCUCCUUCAGCAAACGGCUGGACCACACAACUUCAGGAGAGAGGAUUUUAAAUGUUAGGGUCAUUUUCCCUAAAACGAUUUCAAAUGACGGUGAGUUGGUUCCCAGGCUAGGCCACCUAACCUCGAACGCAAUGACGAGUGCACUCUGACUGCUGAGCUGAGAGCCUUCCGUGGCUCUGGGACCCAGUGACUCACGUGGCUCCGCAUGUCCCCGUUCCCUUAAAAUCGGAGUCUUUCCUUUUCUUGGAUUCCGGCUUGCCACCAGCACCACUUGGCAGAAUGGAAUUGCUUGCGGGCAUGUCAGUGGACUAGAAAGGGAAGUAAGUGGUCUGAGAACUUGGGGGCCAAAAAUGUUACAUUAACAUUUUUUGCCUACCUAAAAUCUCAGCCACUUCCCACAGUUUGGCUGGAAAUUCAGCCCAUGUUGAGGCCCUUCUCAUUCCUGCAGGUGUUACCAGCAACUCAGAGGUUUAUGGAGUAACGAAAUUGGGGAGGGCCUCACAUCCGGCUGCUGUUUUUCCCCCUAACGUGUAUGGUGCUUAUUCUGAGCCAGACACUUUUAAGAACUGCACAUUAUUAACCAUUUUAAAUCGUCCCCACCACCUGAUGAAAUAGGUACUGUUAUCCCCACUUUAUGGGUGGGGAAACCGAGGCCCAGGGAGGUCAAGUAACUGCGCAAAGCACAAAACUGUUGAGUAGUAGUGUUACCAGGGCAGUCCUGGAGAAAUCGCUCAGAGGGCAAAACUGAGAGCUCAUUAUUUUCUUAAACAGUAGACAGCUGAAAAUGCUCAUUGUUUUUUAAACCGUUUUGUUUGUUUGAUUUUUUUUCCUAGUCUCUUUAUCUAUAGGUAACCCAGCUUAAAACAACUGCGGUUGGCCCGGGAUCCUCACUGCCCUUUGCCAAGUACCAGAGAAAGAUAAGGCCUACUAGGAACCAGAGAAAACCAGAACCAGCCACCCCUUGUUACUUUUAGAUCAUUAAUACAUCAUUAUAUGCUCAACUCCCGACCCGUAGAAGAGAAUCGCCGCCAUUUUCUGAUAGUGCAUUGUAUGAAGAGGCAUGUUUAUGAAAUGCACCUGUGCGUCUAGAGUUCCUCCCGGCAUAUGCUUGCAUACCUCCCCACUCCACAUCUAACGCCUUACAAUUCCCCAGCUUCCCAAAGCUCUGGAAGAAGGGGGUCUUUAGAGUGAAAGUUUACUCCUUCUCUAUUCCUGGCCAGGAAUGAAACCCGCUUGCCGUUUUUUCCAGUUGGUGUGCUUUCUUUGCAACUGAUACAGACUAGGAAAAGAACGCAAUUUACCAGUAACAGUAGAGCUGGGAUUUAAAUCUAAGUGCUUUGACUUCAAAGACAAGGUUCCAAGCUGCUACACAUACCAAUUCUCGUUAAAGUGUAUUCCAUUUCUUUUGUGCUUUCAUAUUGACCAUUGUGUGUUAAUCCUUUCAAUUGGAAGAAGAGGGAGACAGUGCCAGUUAUUGCAAACUUUCACAGUCCACAGGCCCGAUAUGUAGCCUUCACCACCCACAGGUUCUGCCACUUCUGGGGCAUUAUAUUCCAUCAAGAUCCAGGCACCCGCCAUCCACAUACCAGCCCUGGAACUCGUCCCUUCUCCCAGACUUGGAAACGCCACCUCUCCCUGACCAAUGUCGAGCCACUUCCUCAUCUUGAUACAUCAGCCACUAUCCUUUCCAUCUUUCAGGCAACUCCAGCUUAAUUUCUCGAUGGCCUUGCCCUUCUAAAAGGCCGUUCUCUUUUCCCAGAUGACUUUUUCCUAUCCCCUCCACAGUAACUCCCCUCAUCCUUCCAGUCUCAAUUCAAUUGUUCCUUGGUGGGGUGGGGCGGGGGGAGCCUUCUUAAACCCUCCUCCCUCACAACUGCAUGAGGUCCCUUGUCUCUAAUAUAAGCUCCUGUAGCACCAUGGCACUUAUCCCAGUUGAGAUUUUAAAUAUAUUUCUGUGUAUUUGAUUAAAGUUUCUCUCCUCCACCAGGCUGUGAAGGUGGCUUCUUGUUUUGUUUUGCUCCCCGUGGUAUUCCCAGCACCUCAGGAUCCCUUAUAGUAGAUGCUGAAUUAGUAAAUACAUAUUAAAUAAAUGAAUGAACAAUCUCACAGGAAAAGCAGCCUCAAACUCAGAGGAUAAUGGCUUGGGCUAUCUUUACUAAAAUUUAAGAGGCGAAUGACCUUUUCUUUCUGCUUAUGAGUCUGUCUGUAGCAGC
Molecule: long non-coding RNA, 2611 nt
Filed under: Homo sapiens (human)
Lineage: Eukaryota; Metazoa; Chordata; Mammalia; Primates; Hominidae
Description: HSALNT0101583
Source: RNAcentral